GCCUAUGGCCAGAUAGCCUUUGAAUGUGCCUGAGAUCUCGUCAGAUCUCGGAAGCUAAGCAGAGUUGAUCCCGGUUCGUGCUUAGAUGGGAGACCACCUGGGAAUAGCAUCUGUUGUAGGCA
This 122-nucleotide ribosomal RNA is filed under the name Petromyzon marinus (sea lamprey). The record is from RNAcentral. Lineage: Eukaryota; Metazoa; Chordata; Hyperoartia; Petromyzontiformes; Petromyzontidae.